This 510-nucleotide ribosomal RNA is filed under the name uncultured bacterium. RNAcentral describes it as "bacterial SSU rRNA". It matches the Rfam family "Bacterial small subunit ribosomal RNA", at positions 30 to 525 of the family's 1533-position model. The record is from RNAcentral.
AGUGAACGCUGGCGGCAGGCCUAAUACAUGCAAGUCGAACGGCAGCACAGCAGAGCUUGCUCUGUGGGUGGCGAGUGGCGGACGGGUGAGGAAUACGUGGGAAUCUGUCCAGUCGUGGGGGAUAACGUAGGGAAACUUACGCUAAUACCGCAUGCGCCCUUCGGGGAAAGGCCGGGGACCGUUCGGGCCGUGGCGCGAUUGGAUGAGCCACGUCGGAUUAGCUAGUUGGCGGGGUAAAGGCCCGACCAAGGCGACGAUCCGUAGCUGGUCUGAGAGGAUGAUCAGCCACACUGGAACUGAGACACGGUCCAGACUCCUACGGGAGGCAGCAGUAGGGAAUAUUGGACAAUGGGCGCAAGCCUGAUCCAGCCAUGCCGCGUGAGUGAAGAAGGCCCUCGGGUUGUAAAGCUCUUUUGUCCGGAAAGAAAAGCGCCGGGUUAAUACCCUGGUGUCCUGACGGUACCGGAAGAAUAAGCACCGGCUAACUUCGUGCCAGCAGCCGCGGUAAAG